AUAAAUAAGCCAAAUGAAAAGAACAACAAAGAACUCACCACUCAUAUCUUUUCACCUUUAAUUUCCGUUCUUUUCUCUUUUCUUUUAAUUGAAUUAAAACAAGUGAAAGAAGGAAGGCGUGUUUAAUUCAAUUAAAAAGAAAAGAAAAGAAACAGGAAAUUAAGGUGUGUGGUUCUUCUUUUUCCCUUUACAUUCAGCUAAAUUAUAAUGAAAUGAAGUGGAAUGU
This 226-nucleotide non-coding RNA is filed under the name Symbiodinium sp. CCMP2430. The record is from RNAcentral. Lineage: Eukaryota; Dinophyceae; Suessiales; Symbiodiniaceae.